GAUGAACGCUAGCUACAGGCUUAACACAUGCAAGUCGAGGGGCAGCAUGAUUGAAGCUUGCUUCAAUCGAUGGCGACCGGCGCACGGGUGAGUAACACGUAUCCAACCUGCCGAUAACUCGGGGAUAGCCUUUCGAAAGAAAGAUUAAUACCCGAUAGUAUAGUAUUUCCGCAUGGUUUCACUAUUAAAGAACUUCGGUUAUCGAUGGGGAUGCGUUCCAUUAGAUAGUUGGCGGGGUAACGGCCCACCAAGUCAACGAUGGAUAGGGGUUCUGAGAGGAAGGUCCCCCACAUUGGAACUGAGACACGGUCCAAACUCCUACGGGAGGCAGCAGUGAGGAAUAUUGGUCAAUGGACGAGAGUCUGAACCAGCCAAGUAGCGUGAAGGAUGACUGCCCUAUGGGUUGUAAACUUCUUUUAUACGGGAAUAAAGUGGAGUAUGCAUACUCCUUUGUAUGUACUGUAUGAAUAAGGAUCGGCUAACUCCGU
Molecule: ribosomal RNA, 488 nt
Filed under: uncultured bacterium
Lineage: Bacteria
Description: partial 16S ribosomal RNA
Rfam family: Bacterial small subunit ribosomal RNA
Source: RNAcentral